RNAcentral lists this ribosomal RNA (706 nucleotides) under uncultured bacterium. Its description in RNAcentral is "bacterial SSU rRNA". It matches the Rfam family "Bacterial small subunit ribosomal RNA", at positions 130 to 874 of the family's 1533-position model. The record is from RNAcentral.
CCUUUGGUACGGAAUAGCCUCUGGAAACGGAGAGUAAUACCGUAUGAGCCCUUCGGGGAAAGAUUUAUCGCCAAAGGAUUAGCCCGCGUUAGAUUAGGUAGUUGGUGGGGUAAUGGCCUACCAAGCCUACGAUCUAUAGCUGGUUUUAGAGGAUGAUCAGCAACACUGGGACUGAGACACGGCCCAGACUCCUACGGGAGGCAGCAGUGGGGAAUCUUGGACAAUGGGGGCAACCCUGAUCCAGCCAUGCCGCGUGAGUGAUGAAGGCCUUAGGGUCGUAAAGCUCUUUCGCCUGUGAAGAUAAUGACGGUAGCAGGUAAAGAAACCCCGGCUAACUCCGUGCCAGCAGCCGCGGUAAUACGGAGGGGGUUAGCGUUGUUCGGAAUUACUGGGCGUAAAGCGCACGUAGGCGGACCAGAAAGUUGGGGGUGAAAUCCCGGGGCUCAACCCCGAACUGCCUCCAAAACUAUUGGUCUAGAGUUCGAGAGAGGUGAGUGGAAUUCCGAGUGUAGAGGUGAAAUUCGUAGAUAUUCGGAGGAACACCAGUGGCGAAGGGGCUCACUGGCUCGAUACUGACGCUGAGGUGCGAAAGUGUGGGGAGCAAACAGGAUUAGAUACCCUGGUAGUCCACACCGUAAACGAUGAAUGCCAGUCGUCGGGUAGCAUGCUAUUCGGUGACACACCUAACGGAUUAAGCAUUCCGCCU